RNAcentral lists this ribosomal RNA (427 nucleotides) under uncultured bacterium. RNAcentral describes it as "bacterial SSU rRNA". It matches the Rfam family "Bacterial small subunit ribosomal RNA", at positions 355 to 772 of the family's 1533-position model. The record is from RNAcentral.
UGGGGAAUUGUUCGCAAUGGGCGCAAGCCUGACGACGCAACGCCGCGUGGAGGAUGAAGAAUUUCGGUUCGUAAACUCCUGUCGAGCGGGACGAAAGAUGCGCGGGUUAAUACCCCGCGCAAGUGACGGUACCGCUAAAGGAAGCCCCGGCUACCUCCGUGCCAGCAGCCGCGGUAAUACGUAGGGGGCAAGCGUUGUCCGGAUUUAUUGGGCGUAAAGAGCUCGUCGGCGGUUUGGUAAGUCGGAUGUGAAAUCUCCAGGCUCAACCUGGAGGGGUCAUUCGAUACUGCCAUGACUAGAGGUCGGUAGGGGAGUGUGGAAUUCCUGGUGGAGCGGUGAAAUGCGCAGAUAUCAGGAGGAACACCCGUAGCGAAGGCGGCACUCUGGGCCGAUACUGACACUGAGGAGCGAAAGCGUGGGGAGCGAA